Molecule: ribosomal RNA, 253 nt
Filed under: uncultured bacterium
Lineage: Bacteria
Description: partial 16S ribosomal RNA
Rfam family: Bacterial small subunit ribosomal RNA
Source: RNAcentral
UACGGAGGGUGCAAGCAUUGAUCGGACUUACUGGGCGUAAAGGGCGCGUAGGCGGAACAAUAAGUCGGAUGUGAAAUUCCGGGGCUCAACCCCAGAGCUGCAUUUGAAACUAUUGAGCUAGAGUUCAGUUAGGGUAAACGGAAUUCCACGUGUAGCGGUGAAAUGCGUAGAUAUGUGGAGGAAUACCGAUGGCGAAGGCAGCCCCCUGGGUCGAUACUGACGCUCAUGCACGAAAGCGUGGGGAGCAAACAGG